This is a long non-coding RNA of Sinocyclocheilus rhinocerous, 1086 nucleotides long. RefSeq lists it as uncharacterized. Lineage: Eukaryota; Metazoa; Chordata; Actinopteri; Cypriniformes; Cyprinidae. The transcript is spliced from 3 exons. The record is from RefSeq and is a predicted model, not a curated record.
AUGUAAAUAGCAUGAGUGCAUCUGUCGGGCCGAGGAGAGAAAAAUCCACAGGAUUAUGAUAUUGCAUUAUCUCCGGACAUCAAUGGCUUUUUAUAAAGUCUCUGAAAGCUUUGCUAUUGACUGAGCGAAGAACACGAUUAUAACAAAAGGAUGCCGUGCACUGUGCUUGUUUGUUCCUCCCCGGGAACAUUGAAGAUUGCUUUGCUAUUUUGCUCAAACUGCAUUUGGCCAGUCCUGACACUUAAACCAAGCUGUGUACAUCGACGAAGCUGCGCCUUGACAUAUUGUCGGACAUCGGCGGUGCCAGUUCUGACAAUUGCUUAGGAGUCUGUGGUGAUGCCAUUCUUUCUUUCAAAGGACCUGUGGAUUCAAAGACCCCCCCAUGAAAUCACCAUAUGAAAUGUACAAUAAAUGAACAAUGUAUUUAUCCACUCCCAAGGCUGAGCCAAACAUCUGCUUCAGUUCCAGAGGCUGCUGGAGGAGAUCCCUCAGGCUGGAUUCGCCAACAGCCCUAAGAAAUGCCACUUCAGACUGCUUGAAGAGUGUUACCUAGACUUCUAGAUCAACUGUGGACUGAUAAAACCUUCAAAAGCAGAUAGAAGCUGAGCAGUUUUAUACUUCCUGGCCUGCGAGUAUGAAAUAUGUAUGCUGUUUCCAAGGGUAGGCAGGUUUCCUUCAAUGCCUCAUGCCUAUAGUUUUUCUAGUAUAUUAUCUCUCCUCUCAAGUGUGACCAGUAAUGGACAGCAAGAAAAAAAAAUACUAUGAACGUCUAAGGUAGGGCUAGCUUUUAGGUUCCUAAAAAACCUUUCAACUGGUUUUACAUGCUACAAGCUUUAAUCUACCCUUCACUCUCCAUGUUCAUGCCAAGCUGCUUUCCAUGAAGAUGAUGCAAUUCACUGUCUGACACCAGCACUGUACUGUAAAUGUCUUUGACAUCACUUUAACCAAUUUUUUUUUGACACAUGAACAGACAGUCUUCAUCCUAAUGCACAACACAUGCCUUUAAAAUUCUCUCUCAGCUUUAUCAAAUACCAGUGCACCCUAAAAAUUAUUCUCAUGUUUAGUUCUUGCUAGUGCUUCAAAAUG